RNAcentral lists this ribosomal RNA (460 nucleotides) under uncultured bacterium. RNAcentral describes it as "partial 16S ribosomal RNA". It matches the Rfam family "Bacterial small subunit ribosomal RNA", at positions 338 to 795 of the family's 1533-position model. The record is from RNAcentral.
CCUACGGGCGGCAGCAGUGAGGAAUAUUGGACAAUGGGCGAGAGCCUGAAGCAGCCAAGCAGCGUGAAGGAUGACGGCUCUACGGGUUGUAAACUCCGUUUAUAAAGGAAUAAAGUGAGGCACGUGAGCCUUCUUGCAUGUACUUUAUGAAUAAGGACCGGCGAACUCCGUGCCAGCAGCCGAGGUAAUACGGAGGAUCCGAGCGUUAUACGGAUUUAUUGGGUGUAAAGGGAGCGUAGGUGGGUUGUUAAGUCAGUUGUGAAAGUUUGCGGCUCAACCGUAAAAUUGCAAUUGAUACUGGCAGUCUUGAGUGAAGUUGAGGUUGGCGGAAUUCGUGGUGUAGCGGUGAAAUGCUUAGAUAUUACGAAGAACUCCGGUUGCGAAGGCGGCUUACUGGGCUGUAACUGACGCUGAUGCUCGAAAGUGUGGGGAGCAAACAGGAUUAGAUACCCCUGUAGUC